Pelobates cultripes (western spadefoot toad) is the source of this 513-nucleotide non-coding RNA. The record is from the annotation of a GenBank genome assembly. NCBI's taxonomy places the organism in Eukaryota, Metazoa, Chordata, Amphibia, Anura, Pelobatidae.
CAGGGAUUGAAUUAACAUCUACAUUAUUGUCAAUGGGAGAGAAACACUUUGGUAGCCCUUUCCAUUUUACCAUUUUGUUUUAUAUCUAUGGGUAUAUUAAAUACAUUGUGUACUUUAUUUUCUUUCAAUAAUCCUACUUGUUACCUCGGUGUCAGUUCUUACAGUUACAGGCUUUAUAUGUUAUGUGUAUUGUGGCUUGUAUGUAUAAAUUUUAGGUUAUUAUUCCCUGGAGUGCUCCAUUUGUGGACAGAAUGUAGACAUAUUUAUACUAUACAUCAUACAACCUUCAUUGCAGAAGUUUACGGUUCCAUUUCUUAACAUUCUGUUUGUAUCACACUAUUGUUCACUGGGUUUUAUAUGAACUACUGUAGAUACUUACCUUCCCUUGAGAAUGAUUAAUGGCGUGUGUAAUUUAUACAAGCUUUAUUUAAUGGGGAUGCUUCUUAAAUUGUUUUUCCAAUACCGACAAUUUGAACUGCACAUGUGCAGCUACUAGUAGAUUUUUCUACCCUC